UAUGUCCUUUUCUUGGGUUAGCGCUACUGUCCAAUGAAUGAGUAGUGAGGACAGUACUGCUAAUGCCUACACAAUAUGCCUGCAUCAACUAGAGCUUUGCUUAUGUAAAUUUGUACAUUA
Molecule: non-coding RNA, 120 nt
Filed under: Prolemur simus (greater bamboo lemur)
Lineage: Eukaryota; Metazoa; Chordata; Mammalia; Primates; Lemuridae
Description: U4atac minor spliceosomal RNA (ENSPSMG00000005635.1)
Rfam family: U4atac minor spliceosomal RNA
About the family: U4atac is an essential component of the minor U12-type spliceosome complex which is required for removal of the rarer class of eukaryotic introns (AT-AC, U12-type). These interacting stem loops have been shown to be required for in vivo splicing. U4atac also contains an 3' Sm protein binding site which has been shown to be essential for splicing activity.
Source: Rfam by way of RNAcentral